CGGCGGCUCCCCGAACGCCGGAAGUUGCUCUGUCAGGAGCCCCGGUGGUUGCUCAUCAAGCGCGUGGUGACCGUUGCUUUUGACCCCCACCGCUUGCUUGCUAAGAUCGUGUUUCACUUUCGGGCAAAAGCCUGUUCAAAAUGCAAAGUGAGAACCUGGGACCAGUAAAUUACUAUGUUGGAAUUGAUGUUGGCACAUCGAGUGUCCGUGCGGCUUUGGUAGACCAGAUUGGCACGGUAGUGGCUUAUGCAGAGCAUCCAAUUCAAAUUUGGGCACCGCAACCUGACUAUUAUGAACAAUCCUCUGAUGACAUCUGGGCAGCUUGUUGUAUAGUCACAAAGAAAAUUACCCAAGGAAUAAAUAUUUCCCAGAUUCGAGGGCUUGGCUUUGAUGCUACCUGCUCCCUUGUUGUUUUGGAUAGUCAUUUUAAUCCUUUAGCAGUCAACUCUGAAGGAGAACACAAAAGAAACAUCAUCAUGUGGAUGGACCAUCGUGCAGUUAAUCAAGCAGCACGCAUCAAUGAGACACAGCAUAAUGUGCUGUCUUUUGUUGGUGGUGUGAUGUCGGUUGAAAUGCAGCCACCUAAAUUGCUAUGGAUGAAAGAAAAUUUGCCAGAGUCUUGCUGGGAAAAGGCAGGGCACUUCUUUGAUCUUCCGGAUUUCUUAUCAUGGAAAGCAACAGGUGCCACAGCAAGAUCUUUGUGUACACUUGUAUGUAAAUGGACAUACUCCUCAGAAACUGGCUGGGAUGAUAGUUUCUGGAAAUCAGUUGGAUUAGAAGAUCUGAUGGCAAAUAAAUACUCAAAAAUAGGAAAUGAAGUUCUCCCUCCAGGAAGUCCAGUUGGAAAUGGAUUAACAGCAGAAGCUGCAGAAGAUCUUGGUCUGUCUAAGGGGAUUGCUGUAGCUGCCUCUCUUAUUGAUGCACAUGCUGGAGGAUUAGGUAUGAUUGGAGCCAAUGUGAAAGGACAUAACAUGCCCUGUGAAAAUCAGCCAAUUGCUUCCCGAUUGGCUGUAAUAUGUGGGACAUCAUCAUGCCACAUGGCGGUUAGUAAGUCCCCUAUAUUUGUCCCUGGUGUUUGGGGACCCUAUUAUUCCGCAAUGGUGCCAGGAUUGUGGCUAAAUGAAGGAGGUCAAAGUGUAACAGGGAAACUGAUAGAGCAUAUUGUCCAAGGACAUGCUGCUUUCCCGGAACUACAAACAAAAUCUGAAGCCAGAGCUCAAAGUAUAUAUACAUACUUGAAUGGUCACCUGGAUCUGAUUAAGAAAUCUUUGCCUGUGGGUUUGCUCACUGUUGAUUUACAUGUUUGGCCAGAUUUCCAUGGCAACCGAUCUCCCCUUGCAGAUUUGACUCUAAAGGGCACGGUAGUGGGACUGACACUAUCUCAAAGUCUUGAUGAUCUUGCUCUUAUUUAUCUAGCUACAGUUCAAGCCAUUGCGUUGGGAACCAGACAUAUUGUAGAAACAAUGCAAGCCGCAGGGCAUCGUAUCAACACUCUCUUUAUGUGUGGUGGUCUGAGCAAGAACCCUCUCUUUGUCCAAAUGCAUGCGGACAUCGUUGGCAUGCCUGUUGUUCUAGCCCAAGAAGUGGAGUCUGUGCUAAUGGGUGCUGCUAUUCUUGGAGCCUGUGCUUCUAAAGAUUUUGCUUCCCUGCAGGGUUUUUAGGUGUCUUACCAUAACAAAGUAGGAAUCCAUUCUAUUAUAUAUAAGGUUGUGCAGUGAUGUUGAUUGGAAGAGGAAACCUGAUUCAGAGCAAGUGUGGAUGUAUGUGCCAUACCUUUUGGCAACCCCUUAAAGUAGAUGUUUUCCCUUAAGCUUCAUUUGACCCUGGAAAAAAUGUAUUUGAUUUAAGGCUGUGUCAACAGGUGUAACAUGCAUAUUUCUGCUCACUCAAAAGUAUCUUUUCCCUUUUAACUCAGAUACAUGACAUGGCUCACAAUCAUAAUCACAACAAUAAUUAUCAGACAUUUGAAUCUAAUCUUCUGUAUUCUUUUUUAUGAUGGCCAAAAUGUUACACUUGAACAGGACAACAAUAUAAUUGUUGUCAUAAAUUCUAUAUUCUGCCAAAGACAUUAGAAAUUUGAGAUAAAUAGGUGGGCUUGAGGCUUGAAUCACAUGACUUUUUUAAAAGUAUUUCUUUUGAGAAGGCAAUCGGCUUUGAUAACUACAGAUUUCUUUUUUGUUUAUAAAACCUGUACCUUUACCUCUUACAUUUCUCUCCUUCACGGAGCACGAUGGCUCAGUAGUUAAAGACCCUGAGCUUGUCAGCUGGAACAGAGUGAGCUCCUGUUAUUUGCCCAGUUCCUGCCCACCGAGCAAUACAAAAGCAUGCAAAUGCAAGUAGAUAACUAGAUACCACUUCAGAGUAUAGUCAUUCUGCCUCAGAGUAUAGUCAUUCUGGCCACAUGACCAUGGAAAUGCCUUCAUACAAAUGCCCCCUAGAGUCAGAGACAGGAAAUCUUUACCUUUAUAUACAACACACACACACACACACACACACACACACACACACAGCGUGGCACUUUAAUAUGUUGUAGUAAUUCCUUAAGAUGUGUGGUUUAAUGUACUUAAUCCUGGGCUGGAUUAGUCAUUUGCUUCCUUAAGCAAAAAGUUUGCGAAUAUUUCUGCAAAGUCAGUUCUCUCAUAUCAAUAACUUGUGCCAGAUUGAGCGCUCUUUAUGAUAUUGUGAAAACAAUUAUACAACAGACAACCUAGACAUAGAGAGACAGAAUGUGAAUAUCUCAGUAGAAAUUGAAUUAUUGGUUUCUUUCAUUCAUUCCCUCUAUUAAAGAAUCUAUUUGCUAACUGAUUGUAUUUUACUGUGAUGUAAAAUCCAAAUAGAAUGAAAGGUGCUAUAGUUGUUAAGGUGUUAGAAAGCCAUCAGGAAGAUCCAAGUUUAAGUCCAUGAAGACAUGGAAGCUUACUGGUAGCCUUGGGCCAACAAGUCACUCUUGGCCCAACUGACUCUGCAAGCUAUUUGUGAGGAUAAUAGUUGAAGCGGGAGUAACAAUAUUAAGAGCUGCCUGGAUAACUCCUAUUCUGUAGAUGGGGAGGACUGUUGGUUUAUGGUAGCACCAGGUAGGAUUCUUUUUGUCUGAUGAAGUGAAUUGCAGCGUAAUAAAACAUAUUCCUUUCAAUAAAAUGUGUAGGCUGGAAAAGGUGCUACUAGCUUUCUGAUUUUUCCUCCCUCUCAAAUGUCUUAGCUAAAAUGAGCAUUUGUGAUUGAGAGUAGCUAAUGAAAUCUUCUUGUUAACACUGUGGCCUGAUUCACUCCUCUUCAUUUCUAACUAUAUUUAAAUGCAGUGCAUCAGUGCAAAAGGGAGAUGCUGAUUUUGAUCCAGUCUCAGCUAUAGGAGCUCACUAUCCCAAAGUACACAGUAAUUAUGGUGGGAGAUAUUUGGAGGAGGGAGUGCUAUGGACACUGAUUGACAUUCUUGAAGGAAGCAUGAGUUAUAAACCAAACAACUUGAGGAAGCAGGAUGCUAUGGAGAAAAUGGAGAAAAUUGGGCGGAUUGUGCUGCCAAACCACAAGGAUAAAAGAUUUUAUGACAAGAAAUACCAAGUGUUUCUAAAACUUGCGGAAG
Crotalus tigris (Tiger rattlesnake) is the source of this 3580-nucleotide RNA transcript. It is a transcript of the gene named FGGY carbohydrate kinase domain containing, with no coding region annotated. Lineage: Eukaryota; Metazoa; Chordata; Lepidosauria; Squamata; Viperidae. The transcript is spliced from 17 exons. The record is from RefSeq and is a predicted model, not a curated record.